UUCCAGACUCCUACGGGAGGCAGCAGUGGGGGAUAUUGGACAAUGGGGGGAACCCUGAUCCAGCGACGCCGCGUGAGUGAAGAAGUAUUUCGGUAUGUAAAGCUCUGUCAGCAGGGAAGAAAGAAAUGACGGUACCUGACCAAGAAGCCCCGGCUAACUACGUGCCAGCAGCCGCGGUAAUACGUAGGGGGCAAGCGUUAUCCGGAAUUACUGGGUGUAAAGGGAGCGUAGACGGUUAAGUAAGUCUGGAGUGAAAGGCCGGGGCCCAACCCCGGGACUGCUCUGGAAACUAUUGAACUUGAGUGCAGGAGAGGUAAGCGGAAUUCCUAGUGUAGCGGUGAAAUGCGUAGAUAUUAGGAGGAACACCAGUGGCGAAGGCGGCCUGCUGGGCUUUAACUGACGCUGAGGCUCGAAAGCGUGGGGAGCAAACAGGAUUAGAUACCCGAGUA
RNAcentral lists this ribosomal RNA (449 nucleotides) under uncultured bacterium. RNAcentral describes it as "bacterial SSU rRNA". It matches the Rfam family "Bacterial small subunit ribosomal RNA", at positions 329 to 792 of the family's 1533-position model. The record is from RNAcentral.